CCUACGGGGGGCAGCAGUGGGGAAUAUUGCACAAUGGGGGGAACCCUGAUGCAGCGACGCCGCGUGAGUGAAGAAGUAUUUCGGCAUGUAAAGCUCUAUCAGCAGGGAAGAAAAUGACGGUACCUGACCAAGAAGCCCCGGCUAACUACGUGCCAGCAGCCGCGGUAAUACGUAGGGGGCAAGCGUUAUCCGGAUUUACUGGGUGUAAAGGGAGCGUAGACGGUAAUGCAAGUCCGGAGUGAAAGCCCAGGGCCCAACCACGGGACUGCUUUUGAAACUGCAUGGCUGGAGUGCAGGAGAGGUAGGCGGAAUGCCUAGUGUAGCGGUGAAAUGCGUAGAUAUUAGGAGGAACACCGGUGGCGAAGGCGGCAUACUGGACUGUAACUGACGUUGAGGCUCGAAGGCGUGGGGAGCAAACAGGAUUAGAUACCCUAGUAGUC
Molecule: ribosomal RNA, 440 nt
Filed under: uncultured bacterium
Lineage: Bacteria
Description: partial 16S ribosomal RNA
Rfam family: Bacterial small subunit ribosomal RNA
Source: RNAcentral